Non-coding RNA from Ixodes scapularis (black-legged tick), 73 nucleotides. The record is from Rfam. NCBI's taxonomy places the organism in Eukaryota, Metazoa, Arthropoda, Arachnida, Ixodida, Ixodidae.
UCCUGGUUAGCUUAAUUGGUUGAGCGCUCCAUUGAAAAUGGAGAGGUCCCUGGUUCGAUACCAGGCCCAGGCG